UAACAUAUGCUUGUCUCAAAGACUAAGCCAUGCAUGUCUAAGUAUAAACGACUUUAUACUGUGAAACUGCGUACAGCUCAUUAUAUCAGCAAUUAUUUAUUUGAUGGUUCCUUACUACAUGGAUAACCGUGGUAAUUCUAGAGCUAAUACAUGCGCAAAGUCCCGACUCUCGCGGGGAGGGAUGUAUUUAUUAGAUUCAAAACCAAUGCGGGCUCUGCCCGGUAUUGUGGUGAUUCAUAAUAACUGAUCGAAUCGCAUGGCUUCACGCUGGCGAUAGU
Molecule: ribosomal RNA, 278 nt
Filed under: uncultured eukaryote
Lineage: Eukaryota
Description: partial 18S ribosomal RNA
Rfam family: Eukaryotic small subunit ribosomal RNA
Source: RNAcentral